RNAcentral lists this long non-coding RNA (490 nucleotides) under Elaeis guineensis (African oil palm). RNAcentral's name for it is "long non-coding RNA (EGUI_LNC066473)". Lineage: Eukaryota; Viridiplantae; Streptophyta; Magnoliopsida; Arecales; Arecaceae. The record is from RNAcentral.
GGAACAGGAGGAGAACCUCGUCCUAACAUAAAUAAAAUGAAAGUCCGAUUAUUUUAAGGCCAGAUUGGGGGAGAGGCCCGUAUAACGGCCCUUAGGUGCCCCCAUGGCCAUGCUAGGAACAGGAGGAGAACCUCGCCCUAGCAUGAGCAAAGUCGAAGGCCCGAUUCUUUUAGAUCGGAUGGGGGGAGAGGCCCUACAAUGCCCUAAUGUGCCCCCACAGCCAUGUUAGAAACAGGAGGAGAACCUCAUCCUAACAUGAGCAAAGUCAAAGGCCCGAUUCUUUUAGAUCGGAUGGGGGGAGAGGCCCUACAACGCCCUAAUGUGCCCCCACAGCCAUGUUAGGAAUAGGAGGAGAACCUCGUCCUGACAUGAGCAAAGUCGAAGGCCCGGUUCUUUUAGACCGGAUGGGGGAGAGGCCCUUGCAACGGCCCUUAUGUGCCCCCACAGCCCCAUUGAGAACAGGAGGAGAACCUCAUCCUAACCUGAGCUG